Molecule: long non-coding RNA, 40081 nt
Filed under: Triticum aestivum (bread wheat)
Lineage: Eukaryota; Viridiplantae; Streptophyta; Magnoliopsida; Poales; Poaceae
Description: long non-coding RNA (TAES_LNC011328)
Source: RNAcentral
UUACUCAUGCAAUUAGCUGGACACAUCUGAGGUUUCACGGACUAGCAAACACAGAGCACAGAUGGAAUUUGAUGCCAUGAAAACUUGUUACUGCUUUUUUAUUUGGAAAACAGAGAGAAAGAACGGUUGUUGCACGACCGACCUAAACACACACCACGUUCCUAAUGACUCGUGCCAUCCCACGAAUCAGAUCAUGCGUGCAUGAUCUACAGCUCCACUAUUAUCGCGUGUGAUCCGAAGUGCCAUGCCAUCCCAUGACUCGGUUCACGACAUGGUAGAAACAGGAGCGACCCCUACCUGACACAUGGACUCGACGCAGACAUGCUUGCCGUCGAGACCGACUCUCAGUGCAUACCGUCUGCUCGCAGGCAGCUGUGUGGCACGUUAUUUGGAACAAACAAAUUGAAAGGAAAAAAAUUAAGGCAUGCACUAAAUUUACUUCAAUAGAUCAGCCCUUGAUCCACAAACCCACAUCGCGAAGUGGUCUUAGUGGAUCUCAUCACUCUCUGAGUCGAUCUCGUCGUUCUCCGAGUCGGAUAAGUGGUUGUCCACCUGCUCGUGCCUAGCCUGCAAUGCCGUCAACCACAAACACCACAUCCAGAUUCCGUUACAUUCCCUCAUCACCCAGGCAGAAAAAACUGAAAACCUUGGAAAAAUAGAAUGGAGACGAGUUCAUACCCUCCUCAUCUGGGCACGAUGGUUCUUGAACCAGAAUUUGAUAUGCUGGGGCUCCACGCGAAACUCGCGACCGAGAUGAGCGCGCUGGGCCUCAUCGGGGUUGGGGCACUCCAUGAAAACACUGCCGUUUUCAAAAAAAAUAAAAGUAAAAGAAAACCAUGAAUACCGUGCACAUGAAUCACCAUGAAAAUAUGACACGAGAAAUAAGCUGUAGGAAAUGGUGCUUGAUCAACCUCUCAAGGAUCUGAAAUUUUUUGUCACUUAGGUCCAUUGUUACCAAUUUCUCGUUUGCUCGCUCACACUCUCCCGGGCUGGCUAGAGGAAGAGAAAGUGGAGGCAGGAAGAUAUCUACAUACUGGAUGCUAUGUGACCUCUGGUUUGCUUCUAUUUAUACACGAGAGGGCGGUGUUUCUCCUCUGUCAGAAUGCUGGCACAAAGAAGGGCCUGUCUGUGUGACCUCUGGCUUGCUGCUGGCAGUCUCCUGGUCGGUCUCUCUUAAUGCCUCCUCCUUUUUGGCUUCUUCCACCCUAUAUUGUUGACCGUCCGUCCCUGUAUUGCUUGGGAGCGCCAGCAGCAGAAACGUUCGCUUUGACUUUUGACCACCUCGGGUCGCUCGCCGGCUGUCUUGAAUGUUUCUCUUUAUGCAUCCUCUCUCUUGGCUUCAUCCCUGGCUUGCUCGCGAGCGCCAGCAGUAGCGUGGUAGUACUAGUAACUAAUGCGAUGUAAUAAGCUUAUAUCAACAAAUUCAAAUCAUAGUACAGGUCAAUUGGGUUAUUGACCUGUGAUGUACUCCCUCGGUAAAGAAAUAUACUCCCUCCGUCUAGGUGUAUAAGUCAUCUUAGGUUGUAAAGAAAUAUACUCCCUCCUCAUUUAGCAGAAUUUGCAAAGCACUUCAAAUCAAUUGGGUUUAUGGACCUGCAUCAGUACGAGUCCUACUGGGUUUGGAUGCAACAAACAAAUGCAGAGUUACCUGAAAAUGGCCGGUGACCUGUCUUGAGUUCGUAAUUUCUCCCAUCCCACAAUUACCAUUGUUCCUCUUGUAGAAAGGGAGAUAAUUAGUCCUGAGUUACGUCCAUGUAUUAGUUGUUAACCAUUAUAUAAUAAAUUCUGCAAUAUUUUACUAGCAUGCAAUUGAUAGGCAUUAAUUUCCAGCCUCUUAAUUAUGUAUGGAUAUCAAAUUAAUCAAUAGUACAGGUGGGUCAUUAUCCUCUAAAUCAUAAUAUUCAAAUUCUAAGUAAGAAAAGCAGAACAAUGACCGACCUAUUAUUGCAAGCCCUAUCAUGUAUCAUUAGGCUAGAUAUGGCAAUAUGUUUGCUUCAGUGCACCAUUGCACUCCUUUUACAAUGGACGUUCUGUUACAAAAUCUUUUCAUCUACAUGGGAGAUUAUAUUUUGUCUUGUUUUCUUAUUAAACAUGAAACAACACAACGUCAAGAUCUUGAUCCACAAUUCUUGUUCCAUAUAAUUUGAUUCAAGUGAAAGUUCUGAAGUAACAUGCCUUUCUUAUUUCCUGUCGUUUGUUCCAAAAAUACGAUAUAUCCUUCAGCCAUAAAACUACAACAACUCAUAAGAACUACAACCAUUUCCCUCUUGCAAAACCUUUUUCAUACUUCCUCCACAACCAUUAUACGUACCAUGCAUAUCCAUGAUGAACCCCGACCACACCAAUGCACGCCAUAUAAUCCGGUGGCCGCCCGAAGUCGGCGCCUGCGAGCCGAGAACACCAACCAGCCUAACAGACCCACAACACAUACCACAUGCGCGCGCUCUAGGAUCCUGCGCUGCCAUCUACUGCCGUCCCAUCUUCAAGAGGGAUCCUUGCACUAACAUUCCCAGGCCCAACCGCCGUUGACACCAGACAAUGUCACUAGCCUCCAUGGAUCCAUCAACCCACCUCCAACGCCGAUACUCCACUGCACCAUGUCGCCGAGACCCACCAUUUUUGAUGUGGUAGAUGCAACACCGCUCCACCUCUUAGCCCCUCCAGUCAGUACCUAUCCAAAAGAGUGCGCUAGGAGAGAGAAUGACACAAGUCUUCGUCAUCAUCCGAUCUUGGAGAACCGGAUCUAGGGUUUCCCCUGGAGCAGAUGCCUCCUGGAGGAAGAAGAGCAUGCCAUCUGCAGUGGCCAUCGAACCCAAACGGUGCCCACCCGCGUAAUGAGCCAUUUUCUUAGAGUUGUGUUGUUGUUCUUCAGCAUCCUUGUACAAUGCCUUGUGUGCGUGUUUUGCGGUGUCGUGUCCUGUUGUGUUGUAUGUGCUGAAUUGUAUGAUUUCUAUAUAAAGUGGAGCGGAAGUCUUGUUGAUAAACAAUGAGAUCAGUUACCUCAGUUGAAACUUGAAAGUGCAUGUUUUGAUUUUGACAGCGGAAGUCAGGGCCAAGGCCGACCUCAUGCGCAGGAAAAGGGACAAGCACACAUGUACCCAAGCUUUUUUCUUCUUUGGUUGCCUAUUGUUUGCUUGCGCUUAAUCCUACCAGAUUAUCAAUUGAUUAAUAUAUUUGCUUGAAUAAUGCAUUAUCAUCUGAUUUCUUGCUUAGAUCCAUGUGUUCUCUAUUUUCAAACAGUUUUGGACUGGGCCUAUUUUUUCAAUUGGAUAAUUUUGGUGCACAAAUUUAUCGAAUCGAAAUAAACCAGUUUAUUUUCUUCUGUUUUCCUUUCUAUAGGAACCUAUGUGUUGGCGUUCGAUAGGACAUAUGUUUUUGAGAAACCUAACCAAGUUCAUAUACCAAAUGCUGACCUUUACUUAAUCAUGUCCCAAGCACCCGUUGUCGUUGGUUUCACGGCAANNNNNNNNNNNNNNNNNNNNNNNNNNNNNNNNNNNNNNNNNNNNNNNNNNNNNNNNNNNNNNNNNNNNNNNNNNNNNNNNNNNNNNNNNNNNNNNNNNNNNNNNNNNNNNNNNNNNNNNNNGCAUGGCAUCCAACGAUGGUCAUGCCGACGGCCAUCAUCAUAUAGAAUCACGCGCUUGUUGCAUAACCUAAGUCGUCGUAGUUCGUCCGGGUCAAUAUAUCGGCCAUUGUGUCGAUCCCCGAACUCGCGCACAACAUAUUACAUGAUUGGUUCACCGCGGUUGACCUCCUUGCCAUUGGAGAACGUUGCAUGCCGCGCAACUUUCUUCGGACUCUACGAUACCUUCACAUGCCCAAGUGCACUUGGAUAUGAUACUGAAUGUUUGUCAGCGACCCAAGAUAACUAAUGCAAUUAGCUGGAUACAUAUGAGGUUUUACUGAAAAAGGCUUUCGUCCCGCUUUAUAUAUAAAGCCACAUCAACAACUUUCGGUACAAACGCACGCCACCACAACACACGCACACACCCAAGGCAGGAUACAUAGGCGCUGAGCGCAACAAUAACACCCCUAACUACGAAGAGAUGAAGCCACAUAUGACGAACCGUGGACUCCAAGACGGCGCCUUCAGGAAGGAUAUGACACCGGAGCCCCGCCACCGCCCGACACGAGGGUCAGAGUUUCCCCUGGAGCAACACAAUGGGCAAUGAGAGCCUGGACGACGCCUUCAAAAAGGGAACGAGUUACGCCGCCGUCAGUCCGUCCGAGGAUAGAAUAGGUUUUCACCCCGGCCAACACUCACCACCACUGAACGCCACACCCAUGCAACCAUGCCGCCCACACGGCCAUGGCCACCGGGCAGCACCAAGCCACGGCCUCUGCCCAUGAGCACCGUGCUCCCACCACCAGGGCCGCCGCCCCCGCAUCCAAGACCAAGAGCCCACCUCACUCGAGACCCAUCGCUACCCCAACCAAAGGGACAAGCGGAAAGGCCCGGCCUUUCGCACCCCUGGGAGGCCCCCAGCGCCGAGACCCAAUCGGCCGGCCAAAAUUGGCCAUCAUCACCGCGUCCUACAGACCCGGGCACGAGGCGAGCUCGGUCCUGCUGCCGGGCGCAAGACGAGCUCGGUCCUGUGACACCGGGCGCGAGACGGGCAAUGGACCGCGGCUGGGAGCCGGCCAGCCCUUUGAUGCAAGUAGUGCCUGAACGACGAGGAGGUGAAGCGAAGGCCGAUACGGCCCGACCGCAGACGAGCCGACGCCGGAGAAGCCGACCGCCGCCGCAAGCAAAUCCGCCGAGCCACCAUGUAGCCGCCGCACCACCAAGAGGUCACCAUGCCGGACCUCCCACGCCGCCGCCCACGGCAAGAACAACAGCCACGCCCGGCCGCUGCCCCCAUGGGAGCAACUGCCACGCCUGGCCAGCCGCCCCAUUCUGCGUCGCCAGCCGCCCCCAUAUGAGGUUUUACUCUAGCAAACACAGAGCACACAUGGAAUUUGAUGCCAUUAAAACUUGCUACAGCUUUUUUAUUUGGAAUACAGAGAGAAAGUACGGUCGUUGCACGAUCGACCUAAACACACACCACGUUCCUAAUGACUCGUGCCAUCCCACGAAUCAGAUCAUGCGUGCAUGAUCUACAGCUCCCCUAUUAUCGUGUUUGAUCCGAUGUGCCAUGCCAUCCCAUGACUCGGUUCAUGACGUGGUAGAAACAGGAGCGACCCCAACCUGACACAUGGACUCGAUGCAUGGACUCGACGCAGACAUGUUUGCCGUCGAGACCGACUCUCAGUGCGUACCAUCUGCUCGGAGGCGGCUCUAUGGCACGUUAUUCGGAACAAACAGAUUGAAGGAAAAAGAACCUAGGGCAUGCACUAAGUUUACUUCAAUGGAUCAGCCCUCCAUCCACAAACCCACAUGGCGAAUUUGUCUUGGUGGAUCUCGUCGUUCUCUGAGUCAAUCUCGUCGUUCUCUGAGUCGAUCUCGUGGUUCUCCGAGUCGGAUAAAUGGUUGUCAACCUGCUCAUCCGUGGCCUGCCAUGGCUUCAAGCACAAACACUACAUCGAGAUCCAUUACAUUCCAUCAUGACCAGGUGGAAAAAACUGAAAUUUGGAAAAAUUGAAAGGAGAUCGAGUUCAUACCCUCCUCAUCUGGGCACGGCGGUUCUUGAACCAGAAUUUGAUCUGCUGUGGCUGCAUGCCAAGUUCGCGGCCGAGAUGGGCGCGCUGGGUCUCAUCAGGGUAGAGGAACACCUUGAAAGUCCUGCAGUUUUCAAAAAAGGAAAAAGAAAACCUUGAAUACCCUGUACAUGGAUCACCAUGAAAAUAUGACAGGAGAAAUAAGCCAUAGGAAAUGGUGCUUCAUCAACCUCUCGAGUAUCUGAAUCUGGUUGUCACUUAGAUCCAUUGUUACCAAUUUCUUGCUUGCUCGCUCACUCUCCCAGGCUACCUAGAGGAAGAGGAAGUGGAGGCAGGAAGAUAUCUUCGUACUGGAUGAUGCGUGCCUCUGGUUUGCUCCUAUUUAUACAUGAGAGGCUGGUGUUUCUCCUCUGUCACAGUGCUGGCGCAAAGAAGCGCCCGUCUGUGUGACCUCUGGCUUGUUGCUGGCAGUCUCCUGGCCGGUCUCUCUUAAUGCCUCCUCCUAUUUGGCUUCUUCCAGCAUAAAUUGCUGACCGUCCAUCCCUGUAUUGCUCUGGAGCGCCAGCAGCAGAAACAUUCGCUUUGACUUUUGACCACCUCGGCUGUCUUGAAGGUUCCUCUUUCCAACGCUGGUCCACAGCCUAGACAUUGUGGACGAUUUUGAGACGAUGCAGCGCAUCAAGCCAUCAAUGCAAUUAGAAAAACUGAGCAUCACCGUCCACUCCUCCCGUCGUCCAAAGUUCGGCCGGCGACUGUCGUCCCUACAGCAAUUUCGUUCUCUUUAUGCCUCCUCUCUCUUGGCUUCGUCCCUGUCUUGCUCGGGAGUGCCAGCAGUAGCCUGGUAGUACUAUUAACUAAUGCGAUGUAAGAAUCUGUAAAGCACUUCAAAUCACCCAUGAUAAGAAAACUUAGCAAAACAUUUCAAAAAAUUCUGAAUUUUUUGGAUGUGAUUAUGACCAAAUAAUUUAGGUGCUUGCAAAAGUUGAUGGUGAAAUGACAUCCGGGGAACUCUGUACAAAAAAACAAAUUUGUGCUGAAAGCAUGUGAAUAGUAACAUGGUGCAGAGCAUCAUUUGUAUUCCGUUUUGUAUGAAGAUCAUUUGAUGUUUUUUGGUGACCAUACUUUGCAAGCUCCUAAAAUAUUUGCUCAUAAUCAUGUCGAGGAAAUUUCAGAAUUUUUAAUUUCUUAAUAUUUUUUUAAUUUACUGUUUACUCCAUGGGUGCACCAAAGUGGGUGGAGCCACUACUUUCCCAAGAGUUUAUGGACCUGCUUCUGUACGAGUCGUACUGGGUUUGGAUGCAACAAACAAAUGUAGCUACACAAAUGUAUGGCUUGUUAACCAUUAUAAUCAAUUCUAAAAUAUUUUAGCAUGCAAUUAGUAGGCAUUAAUUUUCAGCGAUCAGGUGGUGUCGGCGAUCCUUUGUCCUUCCCUUACUGAAGGCGCCACCUUGGAGUACUUGGUUCGUCGUGUGUGGCUUCAUCUCUUCGAGGUGACUUGUUCAUGGUUGAGGGUUGUGGUGACUUCAAGCGGCGCUCUCUAUCCUACCAGCCGUUUGCUUGGAGUUGUGUUGUUGUUCUUUAACAUCUUUGUAUCAUGCCUUGUGUGCACGUGUUACGGUGUCAUGUCGUAUUGUAUCUGCUGGAUUGUACUCUGUCAUGUCGUAUUGUAUCUGCAAGGUCAUCAUCGUAAUAUCUUUUACAAGAGUAUCGACAAUCUCUACGGGUGGAUCUUCCAUCCACCCUGCACGCAGCUUACUUCUCGCUAGUUUGGCUAAAUCAUGGGCAGCACAAUUAGUCUCUUUAGGAGCAUGCUCAAAAAUAAUAUGCGGGAAAUCACAUGCAGGGUGAUAUAUAUAAUCAAAAACGGCCGCUGAUAGACCGUAAUAGUGAUACGUCUCCAACGUAUCUAUAAUCUUUGAUGUAUUCAUGUCAUGUUUAUAAUAUUUUUACAUGCUUUUGGUAUGAUUUGGUUAGAACUAACCCGGACCGACGUUCUUUUCAGUAGAACCACCAUGGUGUUGUUUUUGUGCAGAAAUAAAAGUUCUCGGAAUGUGCUGAAAAUCAACGGAGAUUUUUUUUUGGAAAAUAUAAAAAAUACUGAAACAAAAAGUUAUCGAAGAGGAGUCCCGUGGGGCCCACGAGGGCGGAGGGCGCGCCCACCCCCUAGGGCACGCCCCUGUGCCUCAUGGACUCCCCGUGGGUCCCCCUAACUUGUUCGCGACGCCAAACCCUCCUAUAAAUACCCGAACUUCCAGAAAGAAACCUAGAUCGGGAGUUCCGCCACCGCAAGCCUCUGUAGCCACGAAAAACCUCUUUGAGCCCGUUUCAGCACCCUGCCGGAGGGGGAAUCCAUCACCGGUGGCCAUCUUCAUCAUCCCAGCGCUCUCCAUGACGCGGAGGGAGUAGUUCUCCCUCGGGGCUGAGGGUAUGUACCAGUAGCUAUGUGUUUGAUCUCUCUCUCUCUCUCUCUCUCUCUCUCUCUCUCUCUCUCUCGUGUUCUUGAUUUGGCACGAUCUUGAUGUACCGCGAGCUUUGCUAUUAUAGUUGGAUCUUAUGAUGUUUCUCCCCCUCUGCUCUUUUGUAAUGGAUUGAGUUUUCCCUUUGAAGUUAUCUUAUUGGACUGAGUCUUUAAGGAUUUGAGAACAGUUGAUGUAUGUCUUGCAUGUGCUUAUUUGUGGUGACAAUGGGAUAUCACGUGAUCUACUAGAUGUAUGUUUUGGUGGUCAACUUGCGGGUUCGGUGACCUUUGAACUUAUGCAUAGGGGUUGGCACAUGUUUUCGUCUUGACUCUCCGAUAGAGACUUUGGGGCACUCUUUGAAGUUCUUUGUGUUGGUUGAAUAGAUGAAUCUGAGAUUGUGUGAUGCAUAUCAUAUAAUCAUACCUGCGGAUACUUGAGGUGACAUUGGAGUAUCUAGGUGACAUUAGGGUUUCGGUUGAUUUGUGUCUUAAGGUGUUAUUUUACUACAAAUUCUAGGGCUGUUUGUGACACUUGUAGGAAUAACCCAAUGGAUUGAUCGAAAAGAAUAACUUUGAGGUGGUUUCGUACCCUACAAUAAUCUCUUCAUUUGUUCUCUGCUAUUAGUGACUUUGGAGUGACUCUUUGUUGCAUGUUGAGGGAUAGUUAUAUGAUCCAAUUAUCUUAUUAUUGUUGAGAGAACUUGCACUAGUGAAAGGAUGAACCCUAUGCCUUGUUUCCUACCAUUGCAAUACCGUUUACGCUCACGUUUACCACUUGCUACCUUGCUGUUUUUUAUAUUUUCAGAUUACAAAAACCUAUAUCUACCAUCCAUAUUGCACUUGUAUCACCAUCUCUUCGCCGAACUAGUGCACCUAUACAAUUUACCAUUGUAUUGGGUGUGUUGGGGACACAAGAGACUCUUUGCUAUUUGGUUGCAAGGUUGUUUGAGAGAGACCAUCUUCAUCGUACGCCUCCCACGGACUCAUAAACCUUAGGUCAUCCACUUGAGGGAAAUUUGCUACUGUCCUACAAACCUCUGCACUUGGAGGCCCAACAACGUCUACAAGAAGAAGAUUGUGUAGUAGACAUCAAAUAGCGACAUCAAUUAUUCAUUGUCUCUAUCACCUCUAUGCAAUUACACCAAUCGAUUUACCCGUUUCAUGCCGCGACGAAUCUACCAUUCGAGUCUCUGAUGACGGUGCCAUAUGAGCCAUAAGUCUGGGUCAAAAGCCCAAUCUAUGUUUAGCUUCACAUAGUUGCUCUUUGGUAUUUCCCAGCCAUGAUGCUUGAUCUUCGCCUUUGCAUCACUCGUCGUAGUACAGUUAGCAACCAAAGCUAUGAUUGCCAUUGCUAUGAACAUAGGUUCUUGGACCAUUUCAAUACGCACUAACUCCCCCCCCACCGACCAUAAAUAUCAGGAACCAAUAGCAAUUGAUUCUAUUGAAUUUUCUAGACCGAGGACCACACAUUCUUUAGCUAGUUGCAACAAUAAAUAUUCGAGCACAACUUCUCCCACAUGAUCCACAGUGCAUGCUUUAUCAAUAGAAAAGUCCACCGCAAGCCUCUGUAGCCACGAAAAACCUCUUUGAGCCCGUUUUGGCACCCUGCCGGAGGGGGAAUCCAUCACCGGUGGCCAUCUUCAUCAUCCCAGAGCUCUCCAUGACGCGGAGGGAGUAGUUCUCCCUCGGGGCUGAGGGUAUGUACCAGUAGCUAUGUGUUUGAGCUCUCUCUCUCUCUCUCUCUCUCUCUCUCUCUCGUGUUCUUGAUUUCGCACGAUCUUGAUGUACCGCGAGCUUUGCUAUUAUAGUUGGAUCUUAUGAUGUUUCUCCCCCUCUACUCUCUUGUAAUGGAUUGAGUUUUCCCUUUGAAGUUAUCUUAUUGGACUGAGUCUUUAAGGAUUUGAGAACAGUUGAUGUAUGUCUUGCAUGUGCUUAUUUGUGGUGACAAUGGGAUAUCACGUGAUCUACUAGAUGUAUGUUUUGGUGGUCAACUUGCGGGUUCAGUGACCUUUGAACUUAUGCAUAGGGGUUGGCACAUGUUUUCGUCUUGACUCUCCGAUAGAGACUUUGGGGCACUCUUUGAAGUUCUUUGUGUUGGUUGAAUAGAUGAAUCUGAGAUUGUGUGAUGCAUAUCAUAUAAUCAUACCUGCGGAUACUUGAGGUGACAUUGGAGUAUCUAGGUGACAUUAGGGUUUCGGUUGAUUUGUGUCUUAAGGUGUUAUUUUACUACAAAUUCUAGGGCUGUUUGUGACACUUAUAGGAAUAACCCAAUGGAUUGAUCGAAAAGAAUAACUUUGAGGUGGUUUCGUACCCUACAAUAAUCUCUUCAUUUGUUCUCUGCUAUUAGUGACUUUGGAGUGACUCUUUGUUGCAUGUUGAGGGAUAGUUAUAUGAUCCAAUUAUCUUAUUAUUGUUGAGAGAACUUGCACUAGUGAAAGGAUGAACCCUAUGCCUUGUUUCCUACCAUUGCAAUACCGUUUACGCUCACGUUUACCACUUGCUACCUUGCUGUUUUUUAUAUUUUCAGAUUACAAAAACCUAUAUCUACCAUCCAUAUUGCACUUGUAUCACCAUCUCUUCGCCGAACUAGUGCACCUAUACAAUUUACCAUUGUAUUGGGUGUGUUAGGGACAUAAGAGACUCUUUGCAAUUUGGUUGCAAGGUUGUUUGAGAGAGACCAUCUUCAUCGUACGCCUCCCACGGACUGAUAAACCUUAGGUCAUCCACUUGAGGGAAAUUUGCUACUGUCCUACAAACCUCUGCACUUGGAGGCCCAACAAUGUCUAGAAGAAGAAGAUUGUGUAGUAGACAUCAAAUAGCGACAUCAAUUAUUCAUUGUCUCAAUCACCUCUAUGCAAUUACACCCAACUAUAGUUGCCAAAUUGAGACGAAACCAUAAGGCUAGUGCAUCGGCCCUAAGUGCAUCUCCACACCAAUCGAUUUACCCGUUUCAUGCCGCGAUGAAUCUACCAUUCGAGUCUCUGAUGACGGUGCCAUAUGAGCCAUAAGUCUGGGUCAAAAGCCCAAUCUAUGUUUAGCUUCACAUAGUUGCUCUUUGGUCUUUCCCAGCCAUGAUGCUUGAUCGUCGCCUUUGCAUCACUCGCCAUAGUAUAGUUAGCAACCAAAGCUAUGAUUGCCAUUGCUAUGAACAUAGGUUCUUGGACCAUUUCAAUACGCACUAACUCCCCCCCCCCCACCCACCAUAAAUAUCAGGAACCAAUNNNNNNNNNNNNNNNNNNNNNNNNNNNNNNNNNNNNNNNNNNNNNNNNNNNNNNNNNNNNNNNNNNNNNNNNNNNNNNNNNNNNNNNNNNNNNNNNNNNNNNNNNNNNNNNNNNNNNNNNNNNNNNNNNNNNNNNNNNNNNNNNNNNNNNNNNNNNNNNNNNNNNNNNNNCCAAUAGCAAUUGAUUCUAUUGAAUUUUCUAGACCGAGGACCACACAUUCUUUAGCUAGUUGCAACAAUAAAUAUUCGAGCACAACUUCUCCCACAUGAUCCAAAGUGCAUGCUUUAUCAAUAGAAAAGUCCAAACCUAGUAAUCAUCAUACCUCUUUAGCUCUUGCACAAGUGAAUAACAAGUGCUUGGUAUCAUUGAUGACCCACAAGUAUAGGGGAUCUAUCGUAGUCCUUUCGAUAAGUAAGAGUGUCGAACCCAACGAGGAGCAGAAGGAAAUGACAAGCGGUUUUCAGCAAGGUAUUCUCUGUAAGCACUGAAAUUAUAGGUAAGAGAUAGUUGUGUGCCAAGAUAAUUUGUUACGGGUAACAAGAAACAAAAUUACACAAGGUGCAGAAAGGUGGGCCAAUCCUUUUUGUAGCAAAGGACAAGCCUGGACAAACUCUUAUAUAAAGCAAAGUGCUCCUGAGGACACAUGGGAAUUAUUGUCAAGCUAGUUUUCAUCAUGCUCAUAUGAUUCACGUUCGUUACUUUGAUAAUUUGAUAUGUGAGUGAACCGGUGCUUGGGUGAUGCCCUUCCUUGGACAAGCCUCCCACUUAUAAUUAACCCCUCUCGCAAGCAUCCACAACUAUGGAAGAAGAAUUAAGGUAAACCUAACCAUAGCAUGAAACAUAUGGAUCCAAAUCAGCCCCUUAGGAAGCAACACAUAAACUAGGGUUUAAUCUUAUGUCGCUCUAGCAACCCAUCAUCUACUUCUUACUUCCCAAUACCUCCCCUAGUCCAAAAUCAUGGUGAAGUGUCGUGUAGUCGACAUUCACAUAACAACACUAGAGGAGAGACAACAUACAUCUUCAUCAAAAUAUCGAACGAAUACCAAAUUCACAUGACUACUUAUAACAAGACUUCUCCCAUGUCCUCAGGAAAAAACGUAACUACUCACAAAGCAUAUUCAUGUUCAUAAUCAUAGGGGUAUUAAUAUGCAUUAAGGAUCUGAACAUAUGAUCUUCCACCAAAUAAACCAAUUAGCAUCAACUACAAGGAGUAAUCAACACUACUAGAAACCCAUAGGUACCAAUCUGAGGUUUGGGUACAAAGAUUGGAUACAAGAGAUGAACUAGGGUUUCAGAGGAGAUGGUGUUGAUGAAGAUGUUGAUGGAGAUUGACCCCCUCCCGAUGAGAGGAUCGUUGGUGAUGACGAUGGUGAUGAUUUCCCCCUCCCGGAGCAAAGUUUCCCCAGCAGAACAGCUCCGCCGGAGCCCUAGAUUGGUUCCGCCAAGGUUCAUAAUUAGAGGAGUAUUAAUUAUCAUUAAGGAUCUGAACAUAUGAUCUUCCACCGGAUAAACCAACUAGCAUCAACUACAAGGAGUAAUCAACACUACUAGCAACCCACAUGUACCAAUCUAAGGUUUUGAGAGACAGAGGUGUCGAUAAAAUAAAAUACGGGCAUGAGGGCAUCAUGAUCAUCUUUAUAACAACAACAUAUAUUGUCAUAUGAUUUCUUAUGCUAAUUAACAAUUCAUUCACAAGGUAAAGUAUGAAUCGGAAACUUCAUUGAAAACUAACAAACUAUGAUCUCAGUCAUUGAAGCAAUUGCAAUCUAUCAUAACAUUGUAAAGAGUCAAUAUAAGAGCUUUUCAACAAGUCCACACACUCAACUAUCAUUUAGUCUUUCACAAUUGCUAACAUCACGUGAUACUUAUGGGUACAAAGUUUCAAUCGGACACAGAAAAAGAUAGGGGCUUAUAGUUUCGCCUCCCAACCUUUUAGCUCAACGGUAAUGUCAAUAAUAAUACUAUAUGAAAACCUACAUCCGAGUGUAUAUAUAUAUAUAUAUUUAUAUUUAUAUAUAUAUAUAUAUAUAUAUAUAUAUAUAUAUAUAUAUACCGGAUCUCUCCAACACAUAGUGCUUGCCAAAGGAUAAAGUGUAAGAAGGAAAAGUGAAGAUCACCAAGACUCGUGUAUGAGGGUAGAAGGUAAAAAUAAAAGAUACGCCCUUCGUAGAGGGAAUCAGAGGUUGUCAUGCGCUUUUAUGGUUGGAUGCAGAAAAUCUUAAUUCAAAAGAAUGUCACUUUAUAUUGCCGCUUGUGAUAAGGAUCUUUAUUAUGCAGUCCGUCAAUUUUAUUUCUUCCACAUCACAAGUUCGUAUAAAGCGUAUUUUCUUCACACUAACAGAUCAUAAAAAUUUAUAGAGCAAUUUUUAUUGCUUGCACCGAUGACAACUUACUUGAAGGAUCUUACUCAAUCCAUAGGUAGGUAUGACGGACUCUCAUGGCAAAACUGGGUUUAGGGACUCCCACUAUGUUGUCUUCCUUGUCCAACAUUAACCUUUUAGCAUGUCAUAUUUUAAUGAGUGCCCACAAUCACAAAAGAUAUCCAAGAUAGGGUAUUUAUAUGUAAAACCUCUCUUUCUUUAUUACUUCCAAUUAAUUGCAGCAAUGACCAAAACUAUGUUUGUCAACUCUCAACAACUUUUAUUCAUCAUACUCUUUAUAUGUGGAGUCAUUACUCUCCAUAAGAUCAACAUAUGAUCUUUUUAUUUCUUUUUAUUCUUUUCUUAAUUCCCUCAAGAUCAUAGCAAGAUAGAAAAGCCCUCAACUCAAAACUACUCUGUAUUAUAUAUAACUCACGGACUCGAUUACAUAGAUAGAGAUCAAAACAAAACUCAAAGAUAGAUCAUACUAAAACUUUAUUCUACUAGAUCAAGAUAUAACCAAAAGGAUCGAACAAAGAAAAUCGGUAAAGAUAGAGGUGCGAUGGUGAUACGAUACCGGGGAACCUCCCCCAAGCUUGGCAGUUGCCAAGGGGAGUGCCCAUACCCAUGUAUUUAUGUCUCUUUCUUCAAAGGUGGCGAUGAUGGAGUUAUUGAUGAUGCUGUUAGCUUCAUUAAUGCACCCUUCAGAACUUGCAGUUACUGGAGCAAACGUUGGAGCAUAUUUGCAUUCUUUUGGAUUUCCUCCAUAUGGUGCUUAUUUUCAGGCCCCCAAGAGCUCUUACUUGCAUUGCUUUCACUUGGACGGGAUAUGUCCCAAUUAUAGGGUAUAUGUGUACGGGGAGUGUCCUCGACUUCAUAAUUAUGAACCAAAUUAUGAAAGUUGUUCCGAUGUAACCUGUGUAAGGGCCUCCUAUGGGGAAGCCCUUCUCGAACCUCUUGGUCUUCAUGGUUGCUUCUAGUCCCCAUUGCUUGAUGGGGAUUGGGAAUAGUGGAGAUGCCAACCAGAGUGCCUUUCUGCAUAGCCGGAGGGUGGUCCUCAAGCGAAUCUCCUUCAUCCUCCUCCAUCAUGCACUACUAGGGAAAAGUCUAGCAGUACCGCUGGUUUUUGGCCUAUCAGUAGUGCGGGUAAGCGCGCUACUGAUACGGCGCUACAGCUAAAGCAUAGCAGUAGAGCCUACUGGCACUCGCUACUGCUAUAUCUACUUAGUAGUAGCGCUUUCCAAAUCAAUCGCUACUGCUAAUUACUAGUAGCCCUUUAAAAAACAAUCGCUACUACUAUUAUUUCGUAUUCUAUUUCUUUUGAAUUUUAGGUCAUAUUCACCUUCAUACAAUUUUUCAUACAGUAGCAAUUUAGAGAUUGUUUUUACAUUAUAAUGAGUUAUUAAAUCACUAGCUGAAAUAACCUUGGUUUAGUUUCAAGUGCAUGGAUCCAAAGUAACCAAUGGUCACUUUGGAUCCAUCCAUUUGAAACUAAUCCGCGGUUCUUUCACCCAAUGACAUAAUAACUUAUCAUCAUCAUCAUCAUCAUCAUAAUAUCAUUAACAACUUAUCAUCAUAAUAUAUCAUUGUCAUAUAACUCCUCAUAAUCAUCAUUUUCGUCCAUGAGACAUCAUAUAACAACUUCAUCACUAGUUAUAAUAACAACUCCUCCUCCUCAUCAUCAUAAUACUCAUAAUCACUACUCCUACUCAGCAACACCAUCAAGUCUAAGACAUUGUAGUCAUAUAUAAUCAACACUAACUUAUUGUUCUUAAUACUUAGGACCUACUCCUCUCUCCUAGCUAAAAUACCAUAAAACAGAUAAACUGGUCCUUCAUAAUAAUGGAGAAUGGACAUAAACCUAUCUCCAACUUGUGGCUUGCGCACAUUCAUUUUGUCUCCAAUUAUUUGCGUGUGCGCAUUCAUCACUUUGCUCCAUUCUUUGAUUUCGAGUCUUCCAUCAUUUGAAGAAAUCGAGUAUGCAGUAUGGUAAGCCUUUGAAGGAGUUGGUCGUAAGCUAACCAUAUGCAUAUCACCUUCGGUAAAUAGCAUGUCAGGCAGAACCUGCUUCGGGAGCCUCUGUUCAAAAACGUAAUAUAAACAUAUAUAGUUAGCAAUGUAGUUUACUUAAGAAUAAUGUAUGUAAUGAAGUUACCAUCAUUAACAAAAUCUUACCAAGUUUUUGGCAAUGAAGUUACCAUCAAGCAAUUUAUGGACUAGUGGCACAUAUCUAGUAUAAUUUGGGUUGAUAGAGUGACUGGUUUUGAAGGCCUCAACAUCUUCUAUGAAUGAGACAAGAUAACCUUUCUCGUCACAAUUAAGCUUAGAGUCAUAGCUGUAAUAUGUGUUGUCUACUACCUUCCGAGUAUUUUUUGAAAAUAAGAAAUAAAUUGACAAUUAUAAAUAAAUAAGUUUAGUAAGGACGAACACCAAAUAUUUUUAAAUUAUCAACAUAAAUUACUGAACUUAACAAAUUAGUUUGACAAACUCACAUCUAGGCAAAACUGGAGGCAUAUCCACGUCCACCCAGAUGUCGAUAUUAUCAUCAUCAUCAUCAUCUUCGGGACAAAUAUCAAAUCUUAUUCGCAUUCCCUCCUCAAGUCCAUAUGCCUUGUAGAGAGCUUCCCAAUUAGAGCAACCGAAAUGGGAGCAAUAGACCGCAUUGUACAACUUAACCAGAAACUCAUAACCAUGUUUAGUUCUUAAGUGAGCCCUCCUCAUCUCCACAUUCUCAAAGUCAUCUAAACCAAAACCAAGCUUCUCCAAUACAUAUGGUCUAGCAUGGCUCUGGAUGUACUAAUCGAAUUAAAAAAAAUAUCCAAAAUUACACGUUGAACAAAACAAGCACAAGUGAUGAUAUUAAUUACGAUGAAAUGCUUGCCGUUGUGUACCGUACAAACAUCAAGGGUCUCUUCCAGCUUCACGGUGAAAAACCUAUCAUUUUGCAGGUGAGGAAACCUGUCACACACACCAUGGUCAUCGUAGCAGUACCCACACUCUGGGAUCCCAUCGUCAUUAGACAUCUCCUGUGUUCAAAAUUCAAAGAUUAUAACUCGACGGCCAAACCCAAAAAAUCCGGCAUGACCUUUGCUAAAAAAGGACAUAUCGAGCGCCUAAAAUUGGCUGGAACGGAAAUUAAUCAACACUCCGGCAAAACAUAGGCCGCUUACUAAUGGUCAUUGCAUUUCAAUGGUUGACAAUAUGAACAAAAACAUUUGAAAAUAUCUUAUAUAUAAUCCUAACACUAAAUAAACUAGUUUUAUUAACUACUUACUAAAUAAACUAGUUCUAUUAAGCACUUACUAUAAAUAAACUAGUUCUAUUAAGCACUUACUAAAUAAACUAGUUCUAUUAAGCACUUAAUAUAAAUAAACUAGUUAUAUUAAUCACUUACUAAAUAAACUAUUUCUAUUAAACACUUGCUAAAAAUUCUACUACCCUAGUUCUACCCUAAAUUUUCUUACUUCUAUUUUAUUCAAAACACCUAAAAUAGUCAAAAAAUAUUCUUUUAAAAAACCUACAGAGACAAGGGAGNNNNNNNNNNNNNNNNNNNNNNNNNNNNNNNNNNNNNNNNNNNNNNNNNNNNNNNNNNNNNNNNNNNNNNNNNNNNNNNNNNNNNNNNNNNNNNNNNNNNNNNNNNNNNNNNNNNNNNNNNNNNNNNNNNNNNNNNNNNNNNNNNNNNNNNNNNNNNNNNNNNNNNNNNNNNNNNNNNNNNNNNNNNNNNNNNNNNNNNNNNNNNNNNNNNNNNNNNNNNNNNNNNNNNNNNNNNNNNNNNNNNNNNNNNNNNNNNNNNNNNNNNNNNNNNNNNNNNNNNNNNNNNNNNNNNNNNNNNNNNNNNNNNNNNNNNNNNNNNNNNNNNNNNNNNNNNNNNNNNNNNNNNNNNNNNNNNNNNNNNNNNNNNNNNNNNNNNNNNNNNNNNNNNNNNNNNNNNNNNNNNNNNNNNNNNNNNNNNNNNNNNNNNNNNNNNNNNNNNNNNNNNNNNNNNNNNNNNNGGAGGAGGGAGGGGCGAUGGAAGGAGGGCUUCCUGCGGAGGAGGGAGGAGGGGGCGGCCGGAGGCAGAGGGAGGAGGGCACGGUGGGAGGAGGAGGAGGGAGGAGGGAGGAGGGCGCGGUGGGAGGAGGAGGGACAGAAGGAGGGAGUACCUCGGUGGCGGACGGACGACAGCAGCGGCGGCGACGGACUACGGGUAUCGGUGCGGGCGAGAGUGACUGAGAGGGAGAGUGAGUGAGUGAGAGAGGGUCGGUAGCGUGAGGGGAUAAGGUAGGGUUAGUAGUAGCACUCAUCAAAUAAAAGCGCUACAGCUAAGGAGAAUAGCAGUAGCGCUGGUCGUGGAUACGCGCUAUUGCUAAGUUGGGCUAGCCGUGUGCGCCCAAUUCAGACAUAGCAGCAGCACUUUUUGCCAGUAUGCGCUAAUACUAGAGUUAUAGCAGUAGCGCGGUUUGUUCAUACGCGCUGCUACUAAGUAGCAGUAGCGCAUGAUUUUGUCCAGCGCUACUGCUAAGAUGUUGUGUUUAACGUUUUCCCUAGUAGUGGUGACUCCCUCGGCAUCCCUCCUUCUAAGUUCCAUCUGCAUCAACUAAGCAUCGCUGUCCGUGUUGUUGGAGGAGGAGGACGAUAUGAUGUAUAGCCUUGAAAAUUCUGGCAGAAAACAACUCAAAACAAGAACAUGAGAUUUUGCCGUGGUACGGUGGUCAAAAUCUUCGGGAGAUUAUAUAAUGAAUUUUUACCGACCAAAAUAAGUAUUGUGCAAUAAAACGGAGUCCGGAGGGCACACGAAGUGGCCACAAGGUAGGAGGGGGUGCGCCCAGGGGGGUAGGGGCGCCCUCCACCCUUGUGGUGGCCUCGUAUCUCUUUCGGACUACUUUUAAUUUUCCUAAAUUUUUAAAUAUUCGAAAACGGUGAAAAAUUGCUAUUAGAAAAGUUUUGGAGUCGGUUUACUUACUGUACCACAUACCUAUUCCUUUUCGGAGUCCGACACGUUCUGGAAAGUGUCCCUUAUGUACUCCUCCGGUGUUACAGUGUCAAUUAUAUUGGUCUCAACAUUUAUGGGAUUACCUGAGAUAUAACGUUUGAUUCUUUGACCAUUUACCACCUUCGGAUUUGUGCCUUCGGAAUUGUUGAUUUUGAUGGCACCAGAACUAUAGACCUCCUCGAUAAUGUAAAGACCUUCCCAUUUAGAGAGAACUUUUCCUGCAAAAAAUCUUAAACGAGAGUUGUAUAGAAAAACAUGACCACCUACAUUAAACUCACGCAUUUGUAUCCUUUUUUCAUGCCAUCUUUUAAAUUUUUCGUUAAAGAACAUGGCAUUCUCAUAGGCUUGGGUUCUCCAUUCAUCAAGCGAGCUAAUGUCAAAUAACGUCUUCUCACCGGCAAGUUUGAAAUCAUGGUUGAGCUCUUUAAUAGCCCAAUAUGUCUUAUGUGUUCAAGAGGUAAGUGACAAGUGUUUCUAUAAACCAUUUUAUUCGGAGACAAACCCAUAGGAUUUUUAUAAGCAGUUCUAGCCCAUAAUGCAUCAAGUUUCUUGGACCAAUUCUUUCUAGAUCUAUUAACAUUCUUUUGCAAAAUCAAUUUAAUCUCUCUGUUACUCAAUUCUACUUGACCACUAGACUGAGAAUGAUAUGGAGAUGCAAUUCUAUGGUUAACAUUGUACUUAGCAAGCGUUUUACAAAAAAGCACCAUGAAUAAAAUGUGAACCACCAUCUGUCAUUAAAUAUCUAGGGACUCCAAACCUCAGAAAAGAGUAACUUCUUUAAGCAUCUUAAUAGAAGUGUUAUGAUCAGCACUACUAGUUGGACUAGCUUCUACUCACCUAGUAACAUAAUCAAUAGCAAAUAAAAUAUGUGUAUACCCAUUGGAGGAAGGAAAAGGUCCCAUAUAAUCAAAGCCCCAAACAUCAAAUGGUUCAAUAAUGAGUGCAUAAUUCAUAGGAAUUUCUUGACGUCUACUAAUAUUGCCAAUUCUCUGGCAUUCAUCACAAGACAAGACAAACUUACGAGCGUCCUUGAAGUGAGUAGGCCAAUAAAAACCGGAUUGCAAUACCAUAUGUGCAGUUCUAUCUCCAGCGUGGUGUCCGCCGUAAGCAUCGGAGUGACACUUGUGUAUGAUCUGUUCCUGUUCAUACUCAGGUACACAAAGUCUAAUAACACCAUCUACUCCUUCUUUAUAAAGGUGUGGGUCAUCCCAAAAGUAAUGUCUUAAAUCAUAGAAAAACUUUUUCUUUUGUUGGUAUGAGAAACUAGGUGGUAUAAAUUUAGCAACAAUGUAAUUAGCAUAUAUAAUCGGCAUACGAUGGAGCAGCACGAGAAGCAUUUAUGACAGCUAAUUGUUCAUCAGGAAAGUUAUCAUCAAUAGGCAGUGGGCCAUCAAGAAUAUUUUCUAACCUAGACAAGUGUCUGCAACGAGGUUCUCAGCUCCCUUUCUAUCAAUAAUAUGCAAAUCAAAUUCUUUUAACAAGAGAACCCACCUAAUAAGUCUAGGUUUAGCAUCUUUCUUUUCCAUAAGAUAGUUAAUAGGAGCAUGAUCAGUGUGAACAAUUACUUUGGAAUCAACAAUAUAAGAUCUGAACUUAUCACAAGCAAUUACAAGUGCUAAAAAUUGUUUUUCAGUAGUAGCAUAGUUUCUCUGGGCACUAUCUAGAGUUUUACUAACAUAAUGGAUAACAUUUAAUUUCUUAUCAACUCUUUGUCCUAGAACAACACCAACAGCAUAAUCACUAGCGUCACACAUAAUUUCAAAGGGUAAAUUCCAAUCAGGUGACUGAACAAUAGGUGUAGAAAUCAAGGCCUUCUUAAGUAUCAAAUGCUUUUACACAAUCAUCAUCAAAAACAAAAGGAACAUCUUUUUGCAAGAGAUUAAUGAGAGGCCUAGAAAUUUUACAGAAGUCUUUAAUAAACCUCCUAUAGAAACCAACAUGACCAAGGAAAUUUCCUAUACCUUUGAUAUCUUUAGGACACAACAUAUUUCCAAUAGCAUCUACUUUAGCUUUAUCAACUUCAAUACCUCUUUCAGAAAUUUUAUGCCCCAAGACAAUACCUUCAUUAACCAUAAAGUGGAACUUCUCCCAAUUCAAGACAAGAUUAGUUUCUUCACAUCCCUGCAAAACUCGAUCAAGGUUGCUUAAGAAAUCAUCAAAAGAAGUUCCGUAAACAGAGAACUCAUCCAUGAAAACCUCAGUAGUAUUUUCACAAAAGUCAGAGCAUAUAAGAGUCAUACAUCUUUCAAAGACAACAGGUGCAUUGCAUAAACCAAAAGGCAUACAUCUAUAAGCAAAAGUGCCAAAAAGGCAAGUAAAAGUGGUCUUUUCCUGAUCAUUUUUGACACAGAUAAUUGAGAAAAACCAGAAUAACCAUCUAGGAAGCAAAAAUGUGUAUGUUUGGAUAGUCUUUCUAGCGUUUGAUCAAUAAAAGGUAGAGGGUAAUGAUCUUUUCUAGUAGCUUUAUUCAAUUUGCGGAAAUCAAUUACCCUUCUAUAACCUGUAAUAAUUCUUUGUGGGAUCCAUUCAUUCUUAUCAUUAGGAACAACAGUAAUACCUCCCUUCUUAGGGACAUAAUGAACGGGACUUACCCACUGACUAUCAGCAAUAGGAUAAAUAUACCUGCCUCUAGAAGAUUUAGUAUUUCAUUUCUUACCACUUCUUUCAUUUUAGGAAUUAAUCGUCAUUGGUGAUCAACCACUGGUUUAGCAUCUUUUUCCAAUUUUAUUUUGUGCUGACAUAGAGUGGGACUAAUGCCCUUAAGAUCAUCAAGAGUAUAUCCAAUAGCGGCAUGGUGCUUCUUCAGAGUUUUCAAUAAUUUCUUUUCUUCAUGCUCUAAAAGGUUAGCACUAAUAAUAACAGGAUAUAUCUUAUUUCCAUUGAGAUAAGAAUAUUUAAGAGUAUCAGGUAAUUGUUUAAGCUCAAACACAGGAUCACCCUUGGGUGGAGGAGGAUCUCCGAGAAUUUCAACAAGCAAACUGUGUUACAAAAUAGGCCCUUGAUUAAAGAAUACUUCAUUUAUUUUCCUUCUUUCAUUCAUAAACAUAUUAUUUUCAUGGUCUAGCAAAUAUUGUUCUAAAGGAUCAUUAGGAGGCACGAAAAUAGAAGCAAGACCAGUAAGUUCAUCCUUACUAGGAAAUUCUUUAUCAUGAGGUUGUCUACGAAAUUUAGAAAAAUUAAAAUGAUGAGACAUAUCCCCUAAAUCAAUAGUAACAAUAUCCUUUUCAUAGUCUAUCUUAGCAUUAACAGUAUUCAAGAAUGGGUCUACCAAAUAUAAUGGGACAAAACUCAUCUUGCAGGGAAGCAAGAACAAGAAAAUCAGUAGGGUAUUUUAUUUUCGCACACAAUACUUCAAAAUCUCUAACAAUACCAACUGGUAAAUAGUGUCUCUAUUGGCAAGCUUAAUAGUAACAUCAAUAUCUUCUAUCUCAGCAGGUGCAAAUAUCAUUCAUAAUUUCUUCAUAUAAGGUAUAAGGUAUUGCACUCACACUAGCACCCACAUCACACAAGCCAUGAUAACAAUGAUCUCCUACUUUAACAGAAACUAUAGGCAUGCCAACAACAGGUCUAUGUUUAUCUUGAGUGUCAUGUUCAGCAAUCCUAGCAGCUUCAUCACCGAAAUAAAUAACAUGCCCAUCAAUAUUAUCGACCAAGAGAUCCUUAAUCAUAGCAAUAUUGUGUUCAACUUUAAUUUGUUCAGGGGUUGUAAUUGUUCUAGUAUAACUCUUACGAACCACAGUUUAAGAUUUAGCAUGAUCCUUUAUUCUAACAAGGAAAUGUGGUUUCUCAAUAUAAGCAGUAGGAACAAUUGGAUCAAAAUUAUAAGUAAUAGUUUCUUCUUCAACCUUAAUAGGUUCUACUACUUUAACUUCAAUGGGAGGAUGAUAUUUAAACCACUUCUCACUAGGUAGAUUAACAUGAGUAGCAAAUGAUUCACAAAAAGAAGCUACUAUCUUAGAUUUGAAUUAUGUAGUCUUCAUCAUAAAAGAUCCAGUACAAGAAGUAUCGAGAAUGGAUCGAUCAUUAUGAGAAAGCCGAACAUAAAAAAUUUGGAUAAUAAUUUCUCUUGAGAGCUCAUGAUUGGGGCAUGAAUAUAACAUUGAGUUAAGCCUCCCCCAAGCUUCAGCAAUACUUUCUCCUUCACGGGGCCGAAAAUUAUAUAUAUAAUUCCGAUCACGAUGAACCAGAUGCAUAGGAUAAAACUUCUGAUGAAAUUCCAAUUUCAAUCGGUUGUAGUUCCAUGAUCCAAUAUAAUCACAUAGCCUAUACUAUGUCAAUGCCUUUCCCUUCAAAGAUAAAGGGAAGACCUUCUUCUUGACAACAUCUUCGGGAAUACCUGCAAGCUUAAAUAAUCCACAAACUUCAUCCACAUAGAUUAGGUGCAUAUCAGGAUGUAAUGUUCCAUCUCCUCUGUAAGGAUUAGCUUGCAGUUUCUCUAUCAUACCCAAAGGAAUUUAAACAUAAAUAUUUUCAGUAGGUGCAGUAGGUUGAGGAGCAACUCUUUUCUCUUCCGGUUGAGGUGAAGAUACCCAGAACAAGCCCCUCAAAGGAUUAUUUUCCAUAGUAACAAGUGACAGUAAAUUUCAGCACAAUAUAUAAAUAUUUCCUUACAAAAUUCCACUUACCAAAGGCGCUUCACUCCCCGGCAACGGUGUCGUAAAAGAGUCUUGAUGACCCACAAGUAUAGGGGAUCUAUCGUAGUCCUUUCGCUAAGUAAGAGUGUCCAACCCAACAAGGAGCAGAAGGAAAUGACAAGCGGUUUUUAGCAAGAUAUUCUCUGCAAGCACUGAAAUUAUCGGUAAUAGAUAGUUGUGUGAUAAGAUAAUUCGUAAUGGGUAACAAGCAACAAAAGUAAACAAGGUGCAUCAAGGUGGGCCAAUCCUUUUUUUAGCAAAGGACAAGCCUGGACAAACUCUUAUAUAAAGCAAAGAGCUCCCGAGGACACAUGAGAAUUAUCGUCAAGCUAGUUUUCAUCAUGCUCAUAUGAUUCACAUUAGUUACUUUGAUAAUUUCAUAUGUGGGUGGACCGGUGAUUGGGUGAUGCCCUUCCUUGGACAAGCCUCCCACUUAUUAUUAACCCCUCUCGCAAGCAUCCGCAACUACAAAAGAAGAAUUAAGGUAAAACUAACCAUAGCAUGAAACAUAUGGAUCCAAAUCAGCCCCUUACGAAGCAACGCAUAAACUAGGGUUUAAGCUUCUGUCACUCUAGCAACCCAUCAUGGUGAAGUGUCAUGUAGUCGACAUUCACAUAACACCACUAUAGGAGAGACAACAUACAUCUCAUCAAACUAUCAAACGAAUACCAAAUUCACAUGGUAACUUAUAACAAGACUUUUCCCAUGUCCUCAGGAACAAAUGUAACUACUCACAAAGCAUAUUCAUGUUAAUAAUUAGAGGAGUAUUAAUUAUCAUUAAGGAUAUGUACAUAUGAUCUUCCAUCGGAUAAACCAAAUAGCAUCAACUACAAGGAGUAAUCAGCACUACUAGCAACCCAUAGGUACCAAUCUGAGGUUUUGAGACAAAGAUCAGAUACAAGAGAUGAACGAGGGUUUGAGAGGAGACGGUGCUGGUGAAGAUGUUGAUGGAUAUUGACCCCCUCUCAAUGAUAUGAUCGAUGGUGAUGAUGAUGGCGAUGAUUUCCCCCUCCCACAGGGAUGCUUCCCCGGUAGAACAACUCCGCUGGAGCCCUAGAUUGGUUUUGCCCAGGUUCCGCCUUGAGACGAUGGCGCUUCAUCCCGAAAGCUUCUCUCCUAUUUUUUUCAGGGCAAAAGACACCAUAUAUCAGAAGAUGGGCGUCGGGGGCCUGCCAGGGAGCCCACAAGGUAGGGGUGCGCACCCAGGGAGGUAGGGUGCGCCCUCCCCCCUUGUGGUUGGCUGGUGGCCCCCCUCUAGUGCUUUCUUCGCCCAAUAUAUUUUAUUUAUUCCAAAACUGAUCUCCGUGAAUUUUCAGGACUUUACUAGUCCGGAAUUCCAGCUAUCGAAAUUCUCCCUCUUCAUGUGAACCUUAUAAAAUAAGAUAGAAAAGACAUAAGUAUUGUGAUAUAACCUGUAAUAACAACCCCUAAUGCAAUAAAUAUUGAUAUAAAAGCAUGAUGGAAAAUGGACAUAUCAAUCAUCUUCUCCAAUAUCGCAUGUAGGACAUUGCCCACUGACUUUUAUAUGCCUGCUAGCCAAUGUCACCCGACAAGGUAGCGAGUCUAACAAAGUUCGUUAGAGGAAACUUUUAACCUUGGCCGGACAACUUAAGCUCUAGAUGGUCCCCCAUAUUGGUGAAAUCCGUGAAAGUCCGACUGUAUUUUCUCAUGAUAUCACAAAUAUUAGUUAUGAACUUAUGAUGCAGGCUCAAGUAUAAUAAAAAACACUCAUUGUGAACAAUGGAAAAACCAAAAAGGUAAUAUAAAAAAUAUCUUACAAUGAAAUGUACCCAAGGGUUAGAUGACAACUCACUCUUUUGAGACGUUGUGUUUGGAGAUCAAUAAUACACUAUACCAACACAAAUGCAUGUUUGGUGAUUGUUUAAUGCACAUGAAAGGUACAAAGUUUGUAGAACUAUAUAUAUAACCAAUGCGUCCAUUUAUAGUAUUAGCCAACAGAAAAAGUCAUGCAUUUCCAUUUAUAUUCUUUAGUGAUAGGUACAUGACAAUCACAAUCUCAUGUGUAAACAAUAGGGCCAUACAAUGCAUCCUUGGUUGACUACGAUGGUAACGGAUAAUAGAUACUACAAUUACUACGAAAGUUUUGUAUAUCCCAUAACGGAAGAUACGGCACCUCAUAACAACCGAUCCAUGUCAUUUGUGGGCCAGAUAAUGUCACUGGUUGAUAUCGACGCCACUAUGGCAAUUAUUGCCGUCUCAACAUGCAAGUACCUUCUUCCAUGGUAUGAUUUCAUUGUUAGAAUAUGUAACCUCGAUGGGGCAUACAUUUUUGUAGUUGAACACCCCAUGCACUCUCCAAGUCAUGGUUAACAACCAACUAAAGGAGUUAUGUGGCAAACAUACCCGACUAGGGUGGAAGUGUGUAUGGAAAGCGCUCGUUCACAAAACCCAAUACGGCCCCUAUCGACUGGUAUCCGAUAACAGCCUCGCUUUGUCUCCUUCCGCUCUCCUCGCAUCCAAUAACGGCCCCUAUCAACUGGUAUCUAAUACAUUUGGGGACACACUCCACGCAGCUAGCGAACACCCUCACUGUUGGCGCUCUAUACGGAUGUCCCUACACGGGACCAUCUACUUUGGUUCCUUGAAGGGCCAAAGGUCCUCAGACUAUAGUGGUGGCUAAUGAUAAGGGCACUGACAAAGAUGAGCCACCGGCUCACUAUGAGCAUGGGGAGGCGGAUGUUAAUAUGUAUUUUUCACAAUGAAUAUGAUGAUGCAUGAUUUUUGCAGUUAACCAUAAUGUUGCCAAGAGUCUGUUUAAUAUGACACCAGCGGACGACACUCAGAAUGAUCAAUGUCCUUCCAAAGCGCAUGUCAUGACUCUGCUCACAUUGAAUGGGUCAAUUCAAGACACUCUCGCAACCCCCAGUUAUUGUUGUACCUAGAAAUGGGAGGAAGAAGAGACGAAAAAAGUCUGAUUACACAAGGCACGGGCGCUGCUGGUAGGUAGAAACUGGUUCGAAAGACGAUUAUUGAUUUCGGUUUACUGUACCUUUUGUGUAGUUUCUGAUUAAGUUUCAAAGAUGCAUGGUGAAAAUGACCUUCUAGGUUUACUUCAUUAACCUUAGUAGUCAUUCGGCGUAUUGAAACAUGGUAAUUCUAGAAUGACAACAACAUGUGUGCUUCAGCUCAUAAAUGCUACCAUUGUAGCAAAAGAUUAACUAAAAAUGCAACCACGACCGGUUAUAGUAGCCCCAAGGCUGGAAAAUUCUACCUUGACAACUAAAUGAGAAAUUUGACUCAUAAAUGCUGCCAUGGUAGAGAAAUGAGCCCAUUUAACCAUAAUUGACCCCAUGGUAGCAAAUAUGAGGCCAAAGGCUCAAAAGUUCUUCCGUGACAACUAAAAGAGCCAUUUAGUCUAGACUCGUUGCGAUGGCAACUAAUUAAUGAGCCAUUUCGCGAGCUAACUAAGCCAUCUGGCUCAGAUUAGCUGCCAUGGCAGCAAAAAAUGAAUGUAAAACUACUAUCACAACAUAUAUGAGCCCUGAUAACCCGCAAGUAUAUGGGAUAGUUGUAGCCUCUUUCGAUAAGUAAGAGUGUCGAACCCAACGAGGAGCUAAAGGUAGAACAAAUACUCUCUCAAGUCCUAUCGGCCACUGACUCGACUCUACGCACGCUUGACAUUCGCUUUACCUAGAACAAGUAUGAAACUAGAAGUACUUUGUAGGUGUGAUGAGAUAUGUUUGCAAGAUAAUAAAGAACAUGUAAACAAAAAUUAGGGGCUGUUUAGAUAAAGAAGCAAUAAAGUAAAUAUUAGUAGAGAGCUUUUUGUUACGAGAAAGUUAUUUGUCGAAGGCAAUAGAUAACUAGACCGGAAAUCAUUAUUGCAAUUCUAUUUGAGGGAGAGGCAUAAGCUAACAUAUCAUCCCUUACUUGGAAUUCUAUGCACUUAUGAUUGGAACUCUAGCAAGCAUCUACUAAAGAUUCAUUAAGGUAAAAUCCAACCAUAGCAUUAAAGCAUCAAGUCCCCUUUUAUCCCAUACGCAAACAACCUACUUACUCGGGUUUGUGUUUCCGUCACUCACGCAACCCACCAUAAGCAAAUCAUAAACAUAUUGCAAACCCUACAGCGGGAAUCCCUCACGCUUGCGCGACACAGAGGGCACAAUAGGACAGCACCAAUAAUAAAACAUGCAACUCAAACCAAUCACGAUCAUCAAUUAACCCACAGGACAAAACGGAUCUACUCAAACAUCAUAAGAUAGCCAUACAUCAUUGGGGAAUAAUAUAUAGCAUUGAGCACCAUGUUUAAGUAGAUAUUACAGCGGGUAAGAGAGAGGUUACACCGCUGCAUAGAGGGAGGAAGAGUUGGUGGAGAUGUUGGUGAAGAUGGCGGCGGUGUUGGUGAAGAGCGCGGUGAUGAUCAUGGCCCCCGGCAGCGCUCCGGCGCCACCGGAAGCAAGGGGGAGAGAUCCCCCCUUCUUCUUCUUCUUCCUUGACCUUCUCCCUAGAUGGCAGAAGGGUUUCCCCUCUGGUCCUUGGCUGCCAUGGCUUGGGAGGGGCGAGAGCCCCUCCGAGAUUGGAUCUAUCUCUCUGUUUCUGCAUUCUCUAUUUCUUCCCCUUCACUGUUUUCUUUAUAUCUGGAGAUCCGUAACUCCGAUUGGGUUGAAUCAUUCGCCCAGAUAUUUCUCAUAAAAUUAGCUUUCUUGCGCCAAAAGAAGAGCAUCAACCGCCUUACGGAUGGCCCACGAGAGCCCAGGGUGCGCCUAGGGGUAGGGGGCGCGCCCCCUGUCUCGUGGCCACCUCGGACAUUGUUUCGCGUUGAUUCUUCCUCCGGAAAAUCCCAAAUAUUCCAAAAUAAUUGCCUGUCCAUUUUUACCCCGUUUGGAUUCCGUUUGAUAUUGGUUUUCUGUGAAACAUAAAACAUGCAACAAACAGGAACUGGCAUUGGGCACUGGAUCAAUAUGUUAGUCCCAAAAAAUAGUAUAAAAAGUUGCCAAAAGUAUAUAAAAUUUGAAUAAUAUUGGCAUGGAACAAUCAAAAAUUAUAGAUACGACAGAGACGUAUCAGCAUCCCCAAGCUUAAUUCCUGCUCGUCCUCGAGUAGGUAAAUGAUAAAAAAAAGAAUAAUUUUUUAUGUGGAAUGCUACCUAGCAUAAUCUUAAUCAUAUGUCUAAUCAUGGCAUGAAUAUUAAUACAUGAGUUAUUCAAAGCAAUAGUCUAUCAUUUGACAUAAAAAACAAUAAUACUUCGAGCGUACCAAUAAAGCAAUCGUGUCUUUUCAAAACAAGAUGGCCAAAGAAAGUUAUCCCUACAAAAUCAUAUAGUCUGGCUGCUGUUCUAUCUUCAUCACACAAAGUAUUUAAUCAUGCACAACCCCGAUGACAAGCCAAGCAUUUGUUUCAUACUUUAAUAAUCUCAAACUUUUUCAACUUUCACGCAAUACAUGAGCGUGAGCCAUGGACAUAGCACUAUAGGUGGAAUAGAAUAUGAUGGUGGGGGUUACGUGGAGAAGACAAAAAGGGAGAAGGUCUCACAUCGACUAGGCGUAUCAACGGGCUAUGGAGAUGCCCAUCAAUAGAUAUCAAUGUGAGUGAGUAGGGAUUGCCAUGCAACGGAUGCACUAGAGCUAUAACUGUAUGAAAGCUCAAACUGAAACUAAGUGGGCGUGCAUCCAACUUGCUUGCUCGUGAAGACCUCGGGCAUUUGAGGAAGCCCAUCAUUGGAAUAUACAAGCCAAGUUCUGUAAUGAACAUUCCCACUAGUAUAUGAAAGUGAAAGCAUAGAAGACUCUCUCUAUGAAGAACAUGGUGCUACUCUGAAGCACAAGUGUGGUAAAAGGAUAGUAACAUUGUCCCUUCUCUCUUUUUCUCUCAUUUUUUUUCUUUUUUUUUUCUUUUUUCUUUUUUUUUCUUUAUUAUUUUUUUUCUUUUUGGUGGGCUUCUUUGGCCUCUUUUUUUAUUUGGGCUUCUUUGGCCUCUUUUAUUUUCCAUAAAGUCCGGAGGCUCAUCCGAUGGGGGAAUCAUAGUCUCCAUCACCCUUCCUCACUGGGGCAUGCUCUAAUGAUGAUGAUCAUCACACUUUUAUUUACUUACAACUCAAUAACUAGAACAAAGAUAUGACUCUAUAUGAAUGCUUCCGGCGGUGUACCGGGAUGUGCAAUGAUCUAGCAUAGCAAUGACAUCAAAAAAACGGACAUGCCAUGAAAACAUCAUGCUAGCUAUCUUACGAUCAUGCAAAGCAAUAUGACAAUGAAUGCUCAAGUCAUGUAUAUGAUGAUAAUGGAAGUUGCAUGGCAAUAUAUCUCAGAAUGGCUAUGGAAAAGCCAUGGUAGAUAGGUAUGGUGGCUGUUUUGAGGAAGAUAUAAGGAGGCUUAUGUGUGAUAGAGCAUAUCAUAUCACGGGGUUUGGAUGCACCGGCGAAGUUUGCACCAACUCUCGAGGUGAGAAAGGGCAAUGCACGGUACCGUAGAGGCUAGCAAUGAUGGAAGGGUGAGAGUGCGUAUAAUCCAUGGACUCAACAUUAGUCAUAAAGAACUCAUAUACUUAUUGCAAAAAUCUACAAGCCAUUGAAAACAAAGUACUACGCGCAUGCUCCUAGGGGGAUAGAUUGGUAGGAAAAUACCAUCGCUCGUCCCCGACCGCCACUCAUAAGGAAGACAAUCAAUAAAUAAAAUUGUGCUCCAACUUCAUCACAAAGGGGUUCAGCAUACGUGCAUGCUACGGGAAUCACAAACCUCAACACAAAUGUCUCUACAGUAAACAGUCACCCACUAGCAUAACUCUAAUAUCACCACCUUUAUAUCACAAAACUAUUGCAAGGAAUCAAACAUAUCAUAUUCAGCGAUCUACAAGUUUAUGUAGGAUUUUAUGACUAACCAUGUGAAUGACCAAUUCCCGUCAUCUCUCUAAACAGAUAUAAGUGAAGCAAGAGAUUUUAAUUCUUUCUACAAAAGACAUGCCCACGCUCUAACAAAUAUAAGUGAAGCAAAAGAGAAUUCUACAAGUGGCGGUUGUCUAUAUGAAGAGAAACAGGCAAUCCAAACUUCAAACGAUAUAAGUGAAGCACAUGAAGCAUUCUAUAAAGCCAUACUCAAAAUAUUUAAAUGAAGUGCAAUGAGCAUUCUAUAAAUCAACCAAGGACUAUCUCAUACCAGCAUGGCGCAUAAAAAAAGUGAAAACUAAAUGCAAAAGACGCUCCAAGACUUGCACAUAAUGCAUGAACGAAACAAAUUCGAAAACAUACCGAUACUUGUUGAAGAAAGAGGGGAUGCCUUCCGGGGCAUCCCCAAGCUUAGACGCUUGAGUCUCCUUGAAUAUUUACUUGGGGUGCCUGGGGCAUCCCCAAGCUUGAGCUCUUGCAUCUCUUCCUUUUCCUCGUAUCAGGACAUCCUCGAUUAGACACUACAUCCACACAAAACUUCAACAGAAAACUCGAUAAGAUCCGUUAGUAUAAUAAAGCAAAUCACCACUCUAAGUACAGUUGCAAACCAAUUCAUAUCUUGUUUUUGCAUUGUGUCUACUGUAACGUAACUUUUUCAUGGCUUAAUCCACUAAUAUAAAUUGAUAGAUUCAUCAAAACGAGCAAACUAUGCAUCAAAAACAGAAUCUGUCAAAAACAGAACAGUCUGUAGCAAUCUGAACAUACACCAUACUUCUGAUACCCCAAAAAUUCUACCAAAAUGAGGAAAAAUAAACAAGUUGUACAGAAAGACAGUUCAAAAAGAAUUAGAAUCAAUUGACGUUCCAGUUAAAAACUUAAAAUCGUGCACUACAGCCAAAGUUUCUGUCCUGCACCGUACAAACCAACAAGCAUUGUAAACAUCCUAAAGGCAAACAUUGGCACAUUAUUUUUAUAAUACAAUGGAAUUUUACAAGGGGAUAAUUAUUUUUGAUGAAAAGUUUCUGUAAUCAAGAUUCACAAAGUUUCCGUGAGCAUGAACAAAGUUCAAGGACCUCUCCCACUUCAACAAUGCUUAUCUCUCUCACUUUCACUUUCCUUUUUGAAAAGUUUUUAGGUUCCCCUCUUUAUUUUUUUGUUUUUAAACUAUAUAAAAGCACUCAACAGAAAUAAAUGACUCUCUAAAACUUCCGGGUUGUCUCCCUGGCAGCGCUUUCUUUAAAGCCAUUAAGCUAGGCAUUUAGUGCUCAAGUAAUGGAUCCACCCGGAUCCCAAGGUAUAUAAAAGCCAAUUUUAAUUAACAAUGAUUUAUAAUUUAAUAGUGAGCACAAAGUAACAUAUAUCAAGCAACAACGAAGUCUAACUCUCUUCCUAUGCAUCGGCAUGUCAUAAAAGAAUAAUUCAUGCACACAAAGUAAAGGCCAAUGCGUAGUAUAAGCAGUUUCUUGCAAUUUCAUAGUAUGGGAAACAUAGAGAGGUGGAAAAAUAGUUCCUCUCUCAUAAUAACUGCAAGUAGGAGCAGCAAGCACAUGCAUAUUAUGUUCAUCAAAAUCAUCAUAUGCAAUGGUAAAAGUCAACCCAUAAUUAUAAUCCUUGCUAAGCGCAAACUUCUCCGAUAUAGUGUAGUUUGGAGAAUUCAAAAAGAUAAUAGGACUAUCAUGCGUGGGUGCAAUAGCAAAAAUUGCAUGUUUAACAUAAGGAACUAUAGCAAGUUCAUCUCCAUAAGCAUAAUUCAUAUUGGCAUCUUGGCCACAAGCAUAGCAAGCAUCAUCAAAAAGGGAUAUUUCAAACAAAUUCAAGGGAUCAUAGCAAUCAUCCUUCGGUAAGCACGAAGGGGAAUUAAAUAAUGUAUGAGUUGGAGGGUUACUCUCAUUAGAAGGUGGGCACGGGUAGCUAAUCCGCUCUUCCUCCUUUUGUUCUUCGCUCUCCUCAUCAUCUUUUUCAUCCAAUGAGCUCACAGUUUCAUCAAUUUCUUCUUCCAUAGCUACCUGCAAAAUAUUAGUCUCUUCUUGGACAGCGGAGAAUUUCUUCAUAAAUGCAUUAAUAUAGUAAUUGUAUUCAUCAUUUUCAUAGCAAUAUCUAAGUAUAGCAAGAUUUUCAGGCCUACAAACUGCAUCAUCAAAAUCAUCAAACGCUUUAAACAUAGAUUCAAUCUCAUAAGCACCCGUAAAAGCAACAAAUUCUUCUAUUUGUUCCACAUCAUAGUAAUCAUAUCUACCAUUAGCAUAAGAAGCCAAGGUUUCAUUAUCAUUGAAUUUGCAUGAAAAGGGAAGGUGUGGAUCCUCCACCCUAGAGCAACAAGUAUAAUCAUGCAUCACACGUAAUUGACGAGCAUACCAACGCAAAAUAAUAAAUUGAUCCCAUAAUAGUUUCCCUUUUUGUGUCGAGCGAUAAUCCCUAAAGUAUUCACGUUGAUCCAACGUGUCUCCCAUUAUAAAGUUGAAUGGGGCUUUCUCAGGAUUAUCAAAGUAGUACAUAAUAUCUUUCGCAUAUUGAGAAUCGAGGGUUUUAGGAGUUACCCCAUCCUCAUGAGUAGCAAGUAUAGCUAAUUUUUUUGGUAUUUUGCGUUCCAUAUCCAUAACUACAGAUAGAGAAUAACUUAGAACAGCAAAUAAAAAUUACUUAGUGAUAAAGCAAACAAGCACACACGAGAAUAUUCACCCCACGCUAUGACUCCCCGGCAACGGCGCCAGAAAAAGGUCUUGAUAACCCGCAAGUAUACGGGACAGUUGUAGCCUCUUUCGAUAAGUAAGAGUCUCGAACCCAACGAGGAGCUAAAGGUAGAACAAAUACUCUCUCAAGUCCUAUCGGCCACUGAUACGACUCUAUGCAUGCUUGACGUUCGCUUUACCUAGAACAAGUAUGAAACUAGAAGUACUUUGUAGGUAUGAUAGGAUAGGUUUGCAAGAUAAUAAAGAACACGUAAAUAAAAAUUAGGGGCUGUUUAGAUAAAGAAGCAAUAAAGUAAAUAUUAGUAGAGAGCUUUUUGUUACGAGAAAGUUAUUUGUCCAAGGCAAUCGAUAACUAGACUGGUAAUCAUUAUUGCAAUUCUAUUUGAGGGAGAAGCAUAAGCUAGCAUAUCAUCCCUUACUUGGAAUUCUAUGCAUUUAUGAUUGGAACUCUAGCAAGCAUCUGCAACUACUAAAGAUUCAUUAAGGUAAAAACCAACCAUAGCAUUAAAGCAUCAAGUCCCCUUUUAUCCCAUACGCAAACAACCUACUUACUCGGCUUUGUGUUUCCGUCACUCACGCAACCCACCAUAAGCAAAUCAUAAACAUAUUCCAAGCCCUACAGCGGGAAUCCCUCACGCUUGCGCGACACGGAGGGCAUAAUAGGACAGCACCAAUAAUAAAACAUGCAACUAAAACCAAUCACGAUCAUCAAUUAACCCAUAGGACAAAACGGAUCUACUCAAACAUCAUAAGAUAGCCAUACAUCAUUGGGGAAUAAUAUAUAGCGUUGAGCACCAUGUUUAAGUAGAGAUUACAGCGGGUAAGAGAGAGGUUACACCGCUGCAUAGAGGGAGGAAGAGUUGGUGGAGAUGUUGGUGAUGAUGGCGACGGUGUUGGUGAAGAUCGCGGUGAUGAUGAUGGCCCCCAGCAGCGCUCCGGCGCCACCGAAAGCAAGGGGAAGAGAGCCCCCCUACUUCUUCUUCUUCCUUGACCUUCUCCCUAGAUGGGAGAAGGGUUUCCCAUCUGGUGCUUGGCUCCCAUGGCUUGGGAGGGGCGAGAGCCCCUCCGAGAUUGGAUCUGUCUAUCUGUUUUUGCGUUCUCUGUUUCUUCACCUUCACCGUUUCCUUUAUAUCUGGAGAUCCGUAACUCCGAUUGGGGUGAAUCUUUCGCCCAGAUCUUUCUCAUAAAAUUAGCUUUCUUGCGACAAAAGAAGAGCGUCAACCGCCUUACAGGUGGCCCACGAGAGCCCAGGGCGCGCCUAGGGAUAGGGGGUGCGCCCCCCUGUCUCGUGGCCACCUCGGACACUGUUUCGCGUUGAUUCUUCCUCCGAAAAAUCCAAAAUAUUCCAAAAUAAUUCUCCGUCCGUUUUUAUCCCGUUUGGAUUCCGUAUGAUAUUGGUUUUCGGCGAAACAUAAAACAUGCAAUAGACAAGAACUGGCACUGGGCACUGGAUCAAUAUGUUAGUCCCAAAAAAUAGUAUAAAAAGUUGCCAAAAGUAUAUAAAAGUUGAAUAAUAUUGGCAUGGAACAAUAAAAAAUUAUAGACACGACGGAGACGUAUCAAGCCCCAAGGUUAAAAAUUUCUGGCAUGCCUAGAUUUGCUAUGUGCUAAUCUUGCCAUUUCUUGCCAUGUGCUAUGUUUGGUAUGUAAGUUGCUAUAAAAGACAUUUUUUUCUAUGUAUAUAUGUUGACAUAUAUUUGAUAUGAUGAAAUUUAACAUUUUCUCUUCAUUACGACAUGUCAAAGAUUCAUCGACCAAAACAUUAACAGUUCCGAGGCACCGCAGUGAACCUAGAUGACAAUGCAUGUGUUUUACAAAUUCGCCAUGUGAAAUGAAUGCAUGUAACCCAAUGAUAUCAAUGUGUACUAUGUAAAUUAACGCGUGUGUUGCAAUUUGUAUAUUUGAAUUCAUAUAAAAUGUGAUACAUAAAAUUAUCUAUUUAAUGCAUACUUUUUAUAUUGAUAUAUGAAUCAUGUGUGCAAAUGCUACCACAACAUCAAAUACACUGCCGUGUCAUCUUUUCCCCCAAAACAAAGUACUAGUGUAGCGAAAAAAUACAAGCACAUCACCAAUUCCCCAAAAUACUAGCAUUGUGCCAUUAGUAUUUUGUAUUACAUGUUGCGUGAAAGUCCCAGACAAGACACUUGUAUGUACAUUACUAUUGUCGUGCAUGCAUGUUGGAGAUAUGCCCUAGAGGCAAUCAUGUAUGAUGAUAUUUCCUAUGUGUUUAUGAAUAAAGAUAGUCCUUAGACAUUAUCAAUGAUAGUACUUGGUGGUUGGCACGCCAUACUAGAAGCCGCUACCAGCCGAGCAUGUCGGAGGUGAUCUGACCUGUGACCAAGCUGACUUGAACCUAAGGGAUCGCGCGCUUAAGAGAAGGAACCUGUGAGGCUCGGUCCGACUCCACGAGUCAGGUGUGAUCCUACUUGGACUCGGAUCCAUGCCGAACAGACUUUGGGCUUUAGGAUCCGUGUGAGGCCCAAGCGUUGAGCCCAUGACGGAUAUGCCUAUAUAAAGUGGGGGUGCAGCACACUCAUGCGAUUGAUUGCUUCGGUAUUGUUACUAGGGUUUGCAUGUGUUGCGAAUAGCCACCUCCACUCGCUGCCGACUGUGUGAUCGGACCUAGCAGUCCACCGCACGGUGUUCCUCCAGCACGCGUGGAUACCGUUAGACACGGUGCACCUGCGCCGCUCUGGUGAACUUGUACGUGGGAUCGAACGACCGGCUAUUUGAGGGAUAUCGGACGAGGAGGAGACGAUCCAUGUUGACGUGCUGCCCCAACUCUACUUCCGCUGCAUGGCACUGCAUGUCUAGUGGUAAUGAUCUGUGAUCCAUCUCCCGUAGCAUGGUCUUGGUUGUUCUGCGAGUAGCAAAAUUUUAAUUUGCAGUUGAGGCACCCUACCGUAGAACCCAACAAGGCAGACACGCCACUAGUAAGUUACUCGCUCGUCAUUAAUAACCACUUACAAGUGGCAUCAUACUAGUGGUGUGCCGACCGAACACCGCUAGUAGGCACAUGCGCAAGCUGCUAAUAAGGGGGUCUUGUACAUUGGUGGUGGGAGUCACGAUGCUCGUGGGCGAAGCUCUCAGCUAUGGUGCGGGAUGGUGGCCAUGGACGUGCAGGGGGUGGGGUGAUUGUGGUACGGCGUUCAGUGGCGGUGAUGUGGGAGGUGUCUUCAUGACUAGUUGUAGUAUGUUGCAUAGGCUGCUGCCCUCUUCCUCAAGGUGCCACCCUCGAGUACAUGGUUGAGGGCUCUCAUGACUUCGAGAAAUGUGCUCUCUGUGCUACCAGCCAUUUUCUUGGAGUUUUUUUAUCUUUUUUCAAAAAGGAGAAUAACCUUGGCCUCUGCAUCAAACAAUGCACUCAUCCAUCUUUAUUAAAUUAUUCAAUAGAGACCGGCACAAUAAAUACAAGGAUCAAUCCAAAGCCACCUUUCCUACGAACUAUGUCGCUACACCUAUAAGCUUGAUGAUGAACCCCGACCGCACCAAUGCACACCAUCUAAUCUGGUGGCCAACCGAUGCACACCAUCCAAAGCCACCUUUCCUGCGAGCCGAUAUCACCAACCGUCCUAGCAAACCCAACGCGCACACCGCAUGCGCGUGCUUCAGGAUCCUGCGCUACCAUCUACCGCCGUUCCAUCUUCAAGAGUGAUCCUUGGACUGACCUUGCUAGGCCCAACUGUCGUCGAUGUUGUCAUGAUGUUAGACAAUGCCACUAGCCUCCGUGCGUCCAUCAACCCACCUCCAACACCGAUACUCCACCGCACCAUGCCGCCGAGACCCACCGUUCUCGAUGCGGUAGAUUUUUUUUAGAAAAGGAGGAUGACCCCCGGCCUCUGCAUCUGGGCGAUGCAUGGCCACUUUAUUAAUUAUUCUCACAAGACCUUAUAAAGUCAUACAGCAGUAAGACUGAAGCCACCUUCUAAGCAACAACUGUGGCUACACCUACCAGUUGAUGAAGGGGCGCUGAUAGUCUGGGCCUAAUACCAAACAGACAUCCCAGCCAAACCUAAACAUCUAAGACCUGAGGUCCCAACCAGGACGCCUGCCUGGUAUGGGGCACCUACUAGUCCGGCGCACUCCUCAGCCAGGACGCCUGUCGGGUAUGGGGCCGCCGCAGCCACCUGCCACGAGUCUAUCUUCAGAGUUGUACUGUUGCAUCUACCGUGCCAGGUCUCUCAGCCAUCGACGCCACCACGACGCCAAACAACGUCGUCCUCCUACGUGAGUCCAUCCUCCCACAUCGAACUCCAAAUCUGCACUGUGCCAUGCCGUCCAGAUCCGUCGCCAUCAAUGUAUGGAUGAAGCACCGCUCCACCAAAGAAGCCGUCCGCUGGUCCCGCGAAGCCGAGUGCACCUCCAAGAAUGCUGCCCCCAAGGGGGUUACGACACAUGAUUGCCGCCAACAUCCAAUCAGUUGAUCUAGGGUUUCCCCCGGAGGUAUUGAGUGGAGUUGGGAGCUUCACCUCGAUGAUGCCUUCAUGAAGGAAACGAUGAUAAGGGCAUCGUCAUCACCAUCUCAGGCCAUCGACCGAAGAUCAGGUUUUCACCCGGAUCUGUCCCAAGAAAUCCACCAACAACCUGUGCACCGUCUCGACCUCCUUCAAAGCCCCAGAUCCAGCCGCCUAGAUCCGGCGACCAACCGCAGCAACAGUGCCACCGUGGGACUCCUGGCGCACCGGCCACUGCUUGAGUGUGCCACCACUGGAUCCUAGGAGGAGGGCUCCCAUCCCGCCUCGCCAAGCCGCGAGACACACCAAGAAGGAUCCCGCGCGCUCGUCGCCGUCUCUGAUCCGAACCAAUCCAUAGCAGAUCGCUGUCACAGAUCCGCCUUGGACAGGGACUGCACCACGCCAUGCCUCCGCGGGAAGCCCGAGCUUCACCGGCCUCCACCCUCCAUGGCCGCUGCCCCUGGAUCCAGACAGAACUUUGCCGCUGCCACCGGCCAACUUCCGCCGCCGCCGACCGGCCAAGCUGCCAGUCACUGCAUGACCACGUGAGCACAGGCAGCCGGCCGACCAACUCUGACGAAGAAGAAGGCCACCACCACCAAGCCUAGGGCCGGCGCCCUGGACAUCCUCGUGUUGCAGAUCAAGUCUAGGAGCAGUGCCCCACCGACGGUGAUUGAGACCGAUAGCACAAUGAAUUAGCCCGACAUGAGUCAAGGCCAGAUCCAUCAUUGCUGGUGCCGUCCUCCCCCGCCACCGCCGCACCACUUCCUUGUCGCCGCUGAUCUACACCACCGCCGUCGAUCUGGCUGGAGAGGAGCGCCGCCUCCCAACCAAAUCGAGAUCCAAGGAGAAACCGCCGCCGCCGCCACGCCACAAGGGCUUUGCCCUGUGACGCCCUGGGCGACAGCGGCGGAGGGGAGCGGAGGAGGCACGAGGUUGUAGGAGGAGGGAGGGGGCUCCCCGGUGCGGGGCGGCGCCGCCGCACGGGGGAGGGACAGGAGGGACGGGGCUGUUACGUCUCUUGAUGCGGUAGAUGCGACACCACUCCACCUCUUGGCCCCUUCAUUCUCGGUACCUACUCCAAAUAGUGCCCCCAGGAGAGAGAAUGACACAAGUCCAUGUCAUCAUCCGAUUUGGGAGACCCAGAUCUGGGGUUUCUCCCAGAGCAGAUGCCUCUUAGAGGAAGAAGGGCACGCCAUCUGCAGUUGCCAACGAACCAAACGGUGCCCAGCAUCACAACGAGCCAUUUUCCUGGAGUUGUCUUGUUGUUCUUCAGCAUCUUUGUACAAUGCCUUAUGUGCAUGUGUUGUGGUGUCAUGUCGUGUUGUGUUGUAUGUUCUGAAUUGCAUGAUUUGUAUAUAAAGUGGAGCGGAAGUCUUUUUGAUAAACAAUAAGAUCAAUUACUUCAGUUGAAACUUGAAAGUGCAUUUUUUGGCUUUGACAACGGAAGUCAGGGCCAAGGCCGACCUCAUGCGCAGGAAAAGGGACAAGCACACGUACAUCCCAUAUGUACCCAAGCUCUUUUGUUGUUUUGGUUGCUUGUUGUUUGCUUCCGCUUAAUCAUACAAGAUUAUAGUUGGUUAAUAUAUUUCCUUGAAUAAUGCAUUAUCAUCUGAUUUCUUGAUUAGAUCGAUGUGCUCUCUAGUUUCAAACAGUUCUGGACAGGGCCUAUUUUGUUCAAUUGGAUAAUUUCAGUGCACAAAUUUAUCGAAUCGAAAUAAAUCAAUUUAUUUCCUCUGGUUUCCCUUUUUCUAGGAACCUAUUUGUUGGCAUUCCAUAGGACAUAUUUUUUGAGAAACCUAACCAAAUUAAUAUACAAAAAACUCACCUUUACUUAAUUGUGUCCCAGCCAUAUAUGCCUUCCCACUGGUUUNNNNNNNNNNNNNNNNNNNNNNNNNNNNNNNNNNNNNNNNNNNNNNNNNNNNNNNNNNNNNNNNNNNNNNNNNNNNNNNNNNNNNNNNNNNNNNNNNNNNNNNNNNNNNNNNNNNNNNNNNNNNNNNNNNNNNNNNNNNNNNNNNNNNNNNNNNNNNNNNNNNNNNNNNNNNNNNNNNNNNNNNNNNNNNNNNNNNNNNNNNNNNNNNNNNNNNNNNNNNNNNNNNNNNNNNNNNNNNNNNNNNNNNNNNGUAGCAUAACCUGAGUCGCCGUAAUUGGUCUGGGUCAACAUAUCAGCCAUUGUAUUGAUCCCCAAACUCGCGCACAACAUGCCACAUGAUUGGUUCACCGCGGCUGACCUCCUUGCCAUUGGAGAUCGUUGCAUGCGGCGCACCUUUCUUUGGACUGUCCGACAUCUUCACAUGGCCAAGAGCACGUGGAUACGAUACUGAAUGUUUGUCAGUGACCCAAGAUUACUCAUGCAAUUAGCUGGACACAUCUGAGGUUUUACACACUAGCAAACAUAGAGCACACAUGGAAUUUGAUGCCAUGAAAACUUGCUACAGCUUCUUUAUUUGGAAUACAGAGAGAAAUAAGGGUCGUUGCGUGACCGACCUAAACACACACCACGUUCCUAAUGACUCGUGCCACCCCACGAAUCAGAUCGUGCGUGCAUGAUCUACAGCUCCACUAUUAUCGCGUGUGAUCCGAUGUGCCAUGCCAUCCCAUGACUCGGUUCACGACACGGUAGAAACUGGAGCGACCCCAACCUGAUGCAUGGACUCGACGCAAACAUGCUUGCCGUCAAGACCGACUCUCAGCGCAUACCGCGUGCUCGCAGGCAGUUCUGUGGCGCGUUAUUUGGAACAAACAAAUUGAAAGGAUUUUUUUUAAGGCAUGCACUAAGUUUACUUCAAUGGAUCAGCCCUCGAUCCAAAAAACCCACAUCGCGAAGUGGUCUUAGUGGAUCUCGUCACUCUCCGAGU